ACCGGCGCACGGGUGCGUAACGCGUAUAGACCUACCUUUUACAGAGGAAUAGCCUUUAGAAAUGAAGAUUAAUACCUUAUAGUUUGGCAUCAAUAAAGAUUUAUCGGUAAAAGAUGGCUAUGCGUCCUAUUAGUUAGUUGGUAAGGUAACGGCUUACCAAGACAUCGAUAGGUAGGGGUCCUGAGAGGGAGAUCCCCCACACUGGUACUGAGACACGGACCAGACUCCUACGGGAGGCAGCAGUGAGGAAUAUUGGACAAUGGAGGCAACUCUGAUCCAGCCAUGCCGCGUGUAGGAAGAAUGCCUAUGGGUUGUAAACUACUUUUAUACAGGAAGAAACACUGGUAUGUAUACCAGCUUGACGGUACUGUAAGAAUAAGGACCGGCUAACUCCGUGCCAGCAGCCGCGGUAAUACGGAGGGUCCGAGCGUUAUCCGGAAUCAUUGGGUUUAAAGGGUCCGCAGGCGGUCUAUUAAGUCAGAGGUGAAAUCCCAUAGCUCAACUAUGGAACUGCCUUUGAUACUGGUUGACUUGAGUCAUAUGGAAGUGGAUAGAAUGUGUAGUGUAGCGGUGAAAUGCAUAGAUAUUACACAGACUACCGAUUGCGAAGGCAGUCCACUACGUAUGUACUGACGCUGAGGACGACGGCGUGAGGAGCGACCAGAAUAGAAUACCCUGGUAGUCCACGUCG
This 691-nucleotide ribosomal RNA is filed under the name uncultured bacterium. RNAcentral describes it as "bacterial SSU rRNA". It matches the Rfam family "Bacterial small subunit ribosomal RNA", at positions 94 to 802 of the family's 1533-position model. The record is from RNAcentral.